GACGAACGCUGGCGGCGUGCUUAACACAUGCAAGUCGAACGGAAAGGCCCUGCUUUUGUGGGGUGCUCGAGUGGCGAACGGGUGAGUAACACGUGAGUAACCUGCCCUUGACUUUGGGAUAACUUCAGGAAACUGGGGCUAAUACCGGAUAGGAGCUCCUGCUGCAUGGUGGGGGUUGGAAAGUUUCGGCGGUUGGGGAUGGACUCGCGGCUUAUCAGCUUGUUGGUGGGGUAGUGGCUUACCAAGGCUUUGACGGGUAGCCGGCCUGAGAGGGUGACCGGCCACAUUGGGACUGAGUUACGGCCCAGCCUCCUACGGGAGGCAGCAGUGGGGAUUAUGGAAAAAUGGGCGGAAGCCUAAUGCAGCACCGCCGCGUGCGGGAUGACGGCCUUCGGUUUGUAAACCGCUUUCGCCUGUGACGAAGCGUGAGUGACGGUAAUGGGUAAAGAAGCACCGGCUAACUACGUG
This 468-nucleotide ribosomal RNA is filed under the name uncultured bacterium. RNAcentral's name for it is "partial 16S ribosomal RNA". It matches the Rfam family "Bacterial small subunit ribosomal RNA", at positions 28 to 507 of the family's 1533-position model. The record is from RNAcentral.